UGGUCUGAAGAUUUUAUAAAGCCAUUGGGCCCUAAUUUGACAAGCCAGGCCCAUUGACCCAAGAACACUUGAACCUUGGGAGGGGCUCUUUCCUUGCAAGUCAGAUUUCACUUCACAGAUUCCUCUCUCUCUAGAACAGAAACCUUGCCCUAACUCAAGUUCUCUGACUUCUCUCUAGGUUUCCAGCCAUUUCCACCGAUUGAAUCCUAAUUUGGUGGUGUUUUCUUGUUCCUGGAGUCAAGAGCUACGAAACCAUCCGAUUGGUUUUGCGUUCCAGUGAGUUCUGUACAGUUUCGCACGGUGUAGGGGGUACUGUUAGAGCAUCUGUGAACUGUGUUGAGCAACCCACCAGGUAAGGGGAGCUGGUUAUGUUUAUUUGAUUUAAUAUUAUAUGUUCUGUAUGUAUGACAAUUUGAUUGGUAUGUUGUUUGGAGUUUUCUGUUACGAUUAAGAAAUAUUGGAUGUUAUGUGUUGAAAUUAUAAAGCUGUGAUUGAUGGCUUGUGGAAUGUUUGAUGAACUGAUUGCUAUAAUUGGAACUGUUUGAUGUAAGGGGAGCUAAUUAUUUUGUGUAAAUUUAUUUUAUAAAAUAUAUGCAUGUUAAUUGAUAAAUGGAUGCACUGUUGGGACUGUUUGUUGCUGUCUUAUGUAAUUGAUCUUGGUAUGAGCUUGAUUGCGUAAAGAGGAACCUGUGAUUUAUUUCCUGUGCAUUGUUUGAUGAAUCUAAUUGUUUCUCAAUGAGUUAUUGACUGUGAUUGAUGUUGUUUUGGAAAGGCUUUGGGUGAGACUUUAAUUAACAUUGUUUGGGUAGUACUUGGAUGCAUGAGUAUUAUUUUAGAGUAUUGUGAGAGGGGGGUAAAAUAUAAAAAUUGGGCGUUUGAGGUUUAAAGCACAACAAACUAGUUUAGGUAACUUAAAUAAAUUAAUUAAAAUUGGUUGAGAGCCUUUCUUUGUUGGUAGGAUAAAGGGGACUUAAAAACCUGAGUUGGCACAUCCCUGAUCAUAGAGCAGCCCUGGCCUGGUCCAAUCAGUUGUGACUAGUCAUAUGUGCUAGCGCCGAAGGUGAGUCUGAUGCGUUCAGACAUCUGAACCCUCUCCGGUGACCAAUUGGGUAGCGAUGUGGAGUGGAGAACAAGUAUUUUGUGAGGAGAAUGAGGCCUCAGUGGAGAAUGUCCUAGAGGGGAAUGAGGAAGCAGCUUCUUAGUCUCUCUAGGAAUUCCAUAGCUUUCCAUGUAUCUGAACAAUUCCAGUUCUUGUAUUUUGAAGUACUUUAGUAUUCCACGUUUUAAAAUUUCUUCUACAUUCCGGAUUACUGUAAUCCUUAAAUUUUAAUUUCUUAGAACCUUAAUUGCUAUUUUAUUAUUCUAACUGUUUUCUAUUAUCAUCUAUGUUGACGUCUUAAUUUUAUA
Molecule: long non-coding RNA, 1407 nt
Organism: Vigna angularis (adzuki bean)
Lineage: Eukaryota; Viridiplantae; Streptophyta; Magnoliopsida; Fabales; Fabaceae
Exons: 3
Source: RefSeq, a predicted model, not a curated record